GGGGCAGGCGCGUGGGGGAGAGCCCAGCCGCUGAGAGCAGAAGGGCCGGGGAAUCCCGCGAAGCCGCCAGAGCGCGUCUCGGCGGGGUAUCCCGGGCUUUCCCGGCCGCCGUGCGUGAGGCGGCCGCGGGGCCGCGGACCCUCUAGCCCAGCGCAGCCGGGUGGGAGCUGCACAGCGAGGCAGACACAUUCAGGAAAACUGCAACCACAGGAGACAAUCCAAAUCCCAUGUAGAUGCUGCAUCUAUCUCAAAGUCCAGGUUCUGUGGGUGAUGCUAAACCCUCCCCAACCCCCAGCUGUCAUGCUUGCCCCGGAGGGAAACUGUUUCAGCUGACCUCGCUUGUUAAGCACCCUGGCGCU
Molecule: long non-coding RNA, 359 nt
Filed under: Oryctolagus cuniculus (rabbit)
Lineage: Eukaryota; Metazoa; Chordata; Mammalia; Lagomorpha; Leporidae
Description: lncRNA (ENSOCUG00000038295.1)
Source: RNAcentral